GGUAUCCUGUCUGAAUAUGGGGGGACCAUCCUCCAAGGCUAAAUACUCCUGACUGACCGAUAGUGAACCAGUACCGUGAGGGAAAGGCGAAAAGAACCCCGGCGAGGGGAGUGAAAAAGAACCUGAAACCGUGUACGUACAAGCAGUGGGAGCACAGGUUUACCUGUGUGACUGCGUACCUUUUGUAUAAUGGGUCAGCGACUUAUAUUCUGUAGCAAGGUUAACCGAAUAGGGGAGCCGGAGGGAAACCGAGUCUUAAUUGGGCGUUAAGUUGCAGGGUAUAGACCCGAAACCCGGUGAUCUAGCCAUGGGCAGGUUGAAGGUUGGGUAACACUAACUGGAGGACCGAACCGACUAAUGUUGAAAAAUUAGCGGAUGACCUGUGGCUGGGGGUGAAAGGCCAAUCAAACCGGGAGAUAGCUGGUUCUCCCCGAAAGCUAUUUAGGUAGCGCCUCGUGAAUUCAUCUCCGGGGGUAGAGCACUGUUUCGGCUAGGGGGCCAUCCCGGCUUACCAACCCGAUGCAAACUGCGAAUACCGGAGAAUGUUAUCACGGGAGACACACGGCGGGUGCUAACGUCCGUCGUGAAGAGGGAAACAACCCAGACCGCCAGCUAAGGUCCCAAAGUCAUGGUUAAGUGGGAAACGAUGUGGGAAGGCCCAGACAGCCAGGAUGUUGGCUUAGAAGCAGCCAUCAUUUAAAGAAAGCGUAAUAGCUCACUGGUCGAGUCGGCCUGCGCGGAAGAUGUAACGGGGCUAAACCAUGCACCGAAGCUGCGGCAGCGACGCUGAUGCGUUGUUGGGUAGGGGAGCGUUCUGUAAGCCUGCGAAGGUGGCCUGUGAGGGUUGCUGGAGGUAUCAGAAGUGCGAAUGCUGACAUAAGUAACGAUAAAGCGGGUGAAAAGCCCGCUCGCCGGAAGACCAAGGGUUCCUGUCCAACGUUAAUCGGGGCAGGGUGAGUCGACCCCUAAGGCGAGGCCGAAAGGCGUAGUCGAUGGGAAACGGGUUAAUAUUCCCGUACUUGGUGUUACUGCGAAGGGGGGACGGAGAAGGCUAUGUUGGCCGGGCGACGGUUGUCCCGGUUUAAGCGUGUAGGUGUGUGUUCCAGGUAAAUCCGGUUCACUUUAACACUGAGGCGUGAUGACGAGGCACUACGGUGCUGAAGCAACAAAUGCCCUGCUUCCAGGAAAAGCCUCUAAGCAUCAGGUAACAUCAAAUCGUACCCCAAACCGACACAGGUGGUCAGGUAGAGAAUACCAAGGCGCUUGAGAGAACUCGGGUGAAGGAACUAGGCAAAAUGGUGCCGUAACUUCGGGAGAAGGCACGCUGACACGUAGGUGAAGUGAUUUACUCAUGGAGCUGAAGUCAGUCGAAGAUACCAGCUGGCUGCAACUGUUUAUUAAAAACACAGCACUGUGCAAACACGAAAGUGGACGUAUACGGUGUGACGCCUGCCCGGUGCCGGAAGGUUAAUUGAUGGGGUCAGCGCAAGCGAAGCUCCUGAUCGAAGCCCCGGUAAACGGCGGCCGUAACUAUAACGGUCCUAAGGUAGCGAAAUUCCUUGUCGGGUAAGUUCCGACCUGCACGAAUGGCGUAAUGAUGGCCAGGCUGUCUCCACCCGAGACUCAGUGAAAUUGAACUCGCUGUGAAGAUGCAGUGUACCCGCGGCAAGACGGAAAGACCCCGUGAACCUUUACUAUAGCUUGACACUGAACAUUGAGCCUUGAUGUGUAGGAUAGGUGGGAGGCUUUGAAGUGUGGACGCCAGUCUGCAUGGAGCCGACCUUGAAAUACCACCCUUUAAUGUUUGAUGUUCUAACGUGGACCCGUGAUCCGGGUUGCGGACAGUGUCUGGUGGGUAGUUUGACUGGGGCGGUCUCCUCCUAAAGAGUAACGGAGGAGCACGAAGGUUGGCUAAUCCUGGUCGGACAUCAGGAGGUUAGUGCAAUGGCAUAAGCCAGCUUGACUGCGAGCGUGACGGCGCGAGCAGGUGCGAAAGCAGGUCAUAGUGAUCCGGUGGUUCUGAAUGGAAGGGCCAUCGCUCAACGGAUAAAAGGUACUCCGGGGAUAACAGGCUGAUACCGCCCAAGAGUUCAUAUCGACGGCGGUGUUUGGCACCUCGAUGUCGGCUCAUCACAUCCUGGGGCUGAAGUAGGUCCCAAGGGUAUGGCUGUUCGCCAUUUAAAGUGGUACGCGAGCUGGGUUUAGAACGUCGUGAGACAGUUCGGUCCCUAUCUGCCGUGGGCGCUGGAGAACUGAGGGGGGCUGCUCCUAGUACGAGAGGACCGGAGUGGACGCAUCACUGGUGUUCGGGUUGUCAUGCCAAUGGCACUGCCCGGUAGCUAAAUGCGGAAGAGAUAAGUGCUGAAAGCAUCUAAGCACGAAACUUGCCCCGA
Molecule: ribosomal RNA, 2393 nt
Filed under: Salmonella enterica subsp. enterica serovar Chester
Lineage: Bacteria; Pseudomonadati; Pseudomonadota; Gammaproteobacteria; Enterobacterales; Enterobacteriaceae
Description: partial 23S ribosomal RNA
Rfam family: Bacterial large subunit ribosomal RNA
Source: RNAcentral